ACUCCUACGGGAGGCAGCAGUGGGGAAUAUUGCACAAUGGGGAAACCCUGAUGCAGCCAUGCCGCGUGUGUGAAGAAGGCCUUCGGUUGUAAAGCACUUUCAGUAGGGAGGAAGGUAGUGUAGUUAAUACCUGCAUUAUUUGACGUUACCUACAGAAGAAGCACCGGCUAACUCCGUGCCAGCAGCCGCGGUAAUACGGAGGGGUGCGAGCGUUAAUCGGAAUUACUGGGCGUAAAGCGCAUGCAGGCGGCCUGUUAAGUCAGAUGUGAAAGCCCGGGGGCUUAACCUCGGAAUUGCAUUUGAAACUGGCAGGCUAAAGUCUUGUAGAGGGGGUAGAAUUUCAGGUGUAGCGGUGAAAUGCGUAGAGAUCUGAAGGAAUACCAGUGGCGAAGGCGGCCCCCUGGACAAAGACUGACGCUCAGAUGCGAAAGCGUGGGGAGCAAACAGGAUUAGAUACCCUGGUAGCACAGAG
This 472-nucleotide ribosomal RNA is filed under the name uncultured bacterium. Its description in RNAcentral is "bacterial SSU rRNA". It matches the Rfam family "Bacterial small subunit ribosomal RNA", at positions 335 to 799 of the family's 1533-position model. The record is from RNAcentral.